This 802-nucleotide ribosomal RNA is filed under the name uncultured bacterium. Its description in RNAcentral is "bacterial SSU rRNA". It matches the Rfam family "Bacterial small subunit ribosomal RNA", at positions 9 to 811 of the family's 1533-position model. The record is from RNAcentral.
GAGUUUGAUCCUGGCUCAGGAUGAACGCUGGCGGCGUGCUUAACACAUGCAAGUCGAACGGGAAUUACUUUAUUGAAACUUCGGUCGAUUUAAUUUAAUUCUAGUGGCGGACGGGUGAGUAACGCGUGGGUAACCUGCCUUAUACAGGGGGGAUAACAGUCAGAAAUGGCUGCUAAUACCGCAUAAGCGCACAGAGCUGCAUGGCUCAGUGUGAAAAACUCCGGUGGUAUAAGAUGGACCCGCGUUGGAUUAGCUAGUUGGUGGGGUAACGGCCCACCAAGGCGACGAUCCAUAGCCGGCCUGAGAGGGUGAACGGCCACAUUGGGACUGAGACACGGCCCAGACUCCUACGGGAGGCAGCAGUGGGGAAUAUUGCACAAUGGGGGAAACCCUGAUGCAGCGACGCCGCGUGAAGGAAGAAGUAUCUCGGUAUGUAAACUUCUAUCAGCAGGGAAGAUAGUGACGGUACCUGACUAAGAAGCCCCGGCUAACUACGUGCCAGCAGCCGCGGUAAUACGUAGGGGGCAAGCGUUAUCCGGAUUUACUGGGUGUAAAGGGAGCGUAGACGGUGUGGCAAGUCUGAUGUGAAAGGCAUGGGCUCAACCUGUGGACUGCAUUGGAAACUGUCAUACUUGAGUGCCGGAGGGGUAAGCGGAAUUCCUAGUGUAGCGGUGAAAUGCGUAGAUAUUAGGAGGAACACCAGUGGCGAAGGCGGCUUACUGGACGGUAACUGACGUUGAGGCUCGAAAGCGUGGGUAGCAAACAGGAUUAGAUACCCUGGUAGUCCACGCCGUAAACGAUG